AUGCAUGUAGCUCAGUUGGUUAGAGCGCUGCUGCGGAAUCACUGGGCUGCAGGUUCAAUUCCUGCCAUGCAGA
Non-coding RNA from Paramuricea clavata, 73 nucleotides. The record is from the annotation of a GenBank genome assembly. Lineage: Eukaryota; Metazoa; Cnidaria; Anthozoa; Malacalcyonacea; Plexauridae.